AUGUUCAGCAUCUAUUCCCUGGCUGUUUGUCACUGUGGGGGCUGUGCACAGGAACCCUGGGGUCCCCCUGGGCCAGGUUUGGGGGUCCCAUCACCAGUGACACUCUGUGAUGCUCCAGCCCUUGCCUUGGAGAGCAUCACUCAUGUUUCUCAUCCCACUUCUCUGCUUACAGACACGAUGUCUCUUCUGUACAUGAGCUGGCCUGAGCUGAAGGAUUCCACGCUCCUACAGCAGCGUCAUGGAAAACACCACUUGCCACAGCACAGAACGAGUUCCUAUAACGCAGCUGAACAACCUGCUGUGCAACCUUCCUCCACAGGGAUUCAUGGGCAUAUUUUGAAAGCCUCUUUGCUCCAAGCCCCCACAAAAAAAAAAGGAAAAUCAAACCAAACAUACUUUGGAAUAAGCUACUGGAGCAGAUGACUUGGAAAUGGCUAGCGCUGGCGUUGGAUGCAGGCAUAUAUCCCCUGAUUCUGUGGACUUGAAAGCAAGUGAGCACAGUGAUUGUGGUAGCAGGUCUUCUGUCCUUCUUACAGAGAUAAAAGCAAGGAGCAGACUGGAUUUUUGUGGGAGAGAGAGCUUUUCAAGAAAUGCCCUCCUUGAAACCUCUUAUGGAAAUAAAAGGAACAUCUACAGCUGUGAAAGAAGCUAA
RNAcentral lists this long non-coding RNA (652 nucleotides) under Cyanistes caeruleus (blue tit). RNAcentral describes it as "lncRNA (ENSCCEG00000007382.1)". Lineage: Eukaryota; Metazoa; Chordata; Aves; Passeriformes; Paridae. The record is from RNAcentral.